This 328-nucleotide unclassified non-coding RNA is filed under the name soil metagenome. RNAcentral describes it as "partial contains 5.8S ribosomal RNA, internal transcribed spacer 2, and large subunit ribosomal RNA". The stretch from base 1 to 119 matches the Rfam family "5.8S ribosomal RNA", at positions 35 to 154 of the family's 154-position model. The record is from RNAcentral.
GAUGAAGACGCAGCGAAAUGCGAUAAGUAGUGUGAAUUGCAGAAUUCAGUGAAUCAUCGAAUCUUUGAACGCACAUUGCGCCCCUUGGUAUCCCGAGGGGCAUGCCUGUUCGAGCGUCAUUUCACCACUCAAGCCUGGCUUGGUGUUGGGCGACGUCCCCUUUGGGGACGCGCCUCGAAACGCUCGGCGGCGUGGCACCGGCUUUAAGCGUAGCAGAAUCUUUCGCUUUGGAAGUCGGGGCCCCGUCUGCCGGAAGACCUACUCGCAAGGUUGACCUCGGAUCAGGCAGGGAUACCCGCUGAACUUAAGCAUAUCAAUAAGCGGAGGA